AUACUUACAUGGCAGGAAAGUGACCAUGAUCACAAAAGUGGUUUUCCUAGGGCAAAGCGUAUCCAUUGCACUCUGGAUGGGCUGACCCCGCGGUUUCCCCACAUGUGGGAAACUCCACUGUAUAACUAGUGGUAGUGGCGACUACAUUUGCACUCUCCUU
RNAcentral lists this small nuclear RNA (160 nucleotides) under Microcebus murinus (gray mouse lemur). Its description in RNAcentral is "U1 spliceosomal RNA (ENSMICG00000019254.3)". It matches the Rfam family "U1 spliceosomal RNA". From Rfam's summary of the family: U1 is a small nuclear RNA (snRNA) component of the spliceosome (involved in pre-mRNA splicing). The record is from Rfam by way of RNAcentral. Lineage: Eukaryota; Metazoa; Chordata; Mammalia; Primates; Cheirogaleidae.